AGGUGUGGUGGACCAGUUUACUUAAUGGAGGGCAUUGCUUGCAUUUCUACUAACCAUAAAAUUGUACAAAUUGAAAUGACAAAAUAAACAAAACAAAACAAAAAAGAGCCUGAUGGAAACACAGCAAUUUUGAAAAACAUGUUUUCCAAUAAUCUAGGAUGAGGUGGGUUUUUGACUGUAUUGAAAUAGAUGGUUUGUUUUUGUUUUUAUCAAUGAGCAGCUGUCUCCAGCAGAGCUCUCACAUUGUCACAGUUCAUAAAAUGUUGUGUGUUGAAUCCAUAGCUCUUCUGUAACAUCAGCAACUACGAUUUCCCCAAAAUGCCACUCCCAAAUCUAAGAAACUUGCUGCUCCAAUGCCUGAAUAUGCUGGCGUUCCCUCUGAUUGGCUCAUAGAUGAUGAGCUCUAUCACUACAGCUGAAUUAUGGAUAUAUUUUAUGUAACUGUUUACAUACAUUGCUGCCAUGUUUUGUAAUAUUCUUAUUCACGUGUGAUUUUAAUUUUAUUUUUUAUUUAAUGGAAGCAUCGCAAUUGUGAAAUUGUGUUCUUUUGACUUUAGCAGAGUAAUUACAAAGACUUCCAGACAGUUGUAAUGGGAAUACAACCAAUGUUGGGUCUGGAGAAGAUGUUCACAUUAAGGGAAACCAGAUAAAUCCACAAACACAAGAAAAUAAUGUUGUUUAAAAUAACAUAUCAAAGAAAUACAUUAUUUUCAAAUAUGGAAUUUGAAAAUAUGAUAUUUCAAUAUACUAUUUCAGCUCCUCUGAGGUUGUCUGACCCACUGGGAGGCCAUAAGUGAGGAAACAUUAUAACCCACUUAUAUGGAGUCAAUCAUGUUCUCACACUGAAUGGUUUUGUGUUGCUGUCUGAGCCGCUGCUUCAGAGGGGAAAAUCACAGUGACGGCAAAUAUCCUUCACACUUUAAACAUGAGUGCUGUUGUCAUGGCAGUGCAGUGUCACUGACAGUUGGCAUGUGAGAACUGCCCUCCAGCAGCCGGGAAGGAACUCCAACAAAACCAGGCUGAACAUGACGGUUCUGCAUGUCAGGAAGAAAAUCCUUGCAGCUGCUGUCAGCUCCAGACUCAAGCCGUAGAUCUGACAUCACAAACAUACAGGAAGGCAGGAAGGUAGGAAGGUAGGAAGGAAGGAAGUUGACAUAUCUCGGCAGGUUUGUUUUUGCUCCAUAUGGAUCAGAGCUCAGUGACGUUUAAAGCUUAGACUAUUGUCCAAAGAAGCCAGCCUUAAUCUUCUCCACAGCGUUCUCCCUGACCCGUCUGCUGCAGUUCUUUAACGUUCUCUAAACACCUGGGGCCAGAAAAACAACAGCUGGAUUUAUACAGUAUAAAUAUCAUACUGAGACUAAAUGAUGCACAACUGAACUCUAUUUACUAAUAAGAUGACUGCUGAAGGCGAUUGGCUGUCUGUGAGUUUGGUUGGAGCUAACAGGAAAGGAGUUCUAGAGCAGAGAUAUUUAGAUCAGAAUUACAACAAAUUACUGGAUCCUGUUUAUUCUACAUUCAUAAACCACAAUCAGACACAUCUAAGUUAAUUAGAAUGUGUUCUGAUGAGGCUCGCAUGUCAGAUUAAAAGUACCUUUUGAAAAUAAAAACCUUUAAAGUUACCUUUAAUAUAUUUUUUAUUAUGCCCACAUUAAGUCAAAUUUUAAUAAGACCAUCACUAGUUAUAGAGUCCUGGCCCUACAAUUCCAGUGAAAGAAAGUCUUAAUGAGAAUUUUAUGUUGCCAACUUGGGGAACUUUUGAGAUGAACUCAGAAGUCAUUAAUGAUCUGCAAAACAAGUCCACAUGACUCAAAACCUCAAAAGUCCUGGAUUUCCGGAAAACUAACCAGCCUGUCAUAUUUUCUGGAUCCUAUCUCCUUCUUGGAAAGAAAAGAAAAGAAAAG
This is a long non-coding RNA of Poecilia latipinna (sailfin molly), 1901 nucleotides long. RefSeq lists it as uncharacterized. The transcript has 2 exons. Lineage: Eukaryota; Metazoa; Chordata; Actinopteri; Cyprinodontiformes; Poeciliidae. The record is from RefSeq and is a predicted model, not a curated record.